GAAAGAAUGAGCAGUGCUGAAUUCAUAUCUCAUAUUGCAGGUGCAGCUGAAUGAGAAUGACACAAAGCAGUGGGUGAAGAGGGUGGAGAAAGCUUCAGAGUUUGCUGUAGCUGAGGUGUUUUCCAUCAAGAAACCAUUUGGUAGAAAAAAAAACUAUGGCUCUGCAGACUGUACAGGAUCACGAUGAUGUGUACAGUGAAGCUCAGUCAAUUCUAAGUGAAUGGAUGAACCAGAAAUUACGUCUGGAGCUUGAAAUGGAUGAUGACGAGGAGGAAGAGGAGAUGGAAGAAUCCAAACCAAAUCCUAUAAUAACUUUGAUGGUACAAAUGAAAUGAAGGAAGUACCUUCUUUGUUUUAUUAAGUUUACCUUAAGAAUUCACAUAAAAUCUGUAAAAGUGUAAAAAUCAUAAAAAAGUUAUUUUAGUGUUGUUUAUAUACUAUUAUAAUAUGUAUUAAUAUUUUGAAUUAGCUUUUAUUUUUAGAUUUUCAGUUUUCAUCAAUUGUUAGUAAUUUUAUUUGUGCUUUUGUCAUUUAAAAAAAAUAUAUUUAUUUCUAUAUAACUUUAUUUUAAUUUUUAGUUAUAGUCGUUUUUGUACUUUAACUUAAUUCAUGGUUCAAGGUUCAGUUCAGGGCUAUUAUAAUUAACUAACACUAAAUCUGAACUAAAAUUAAAACCAUUCAAAAAUGUUGUUACUUAAAAUAAAAUAAACGUUUAAUUAAAAAAACCCUUUUUU
This is a long non-coding RNA of Cyprinus carpio (common carp), 734 nucleotides long. The record is from Ensembl. NCBI's taxonomy places the organism in Eukaryota, Metazoa, Chordata, Actinopteri, Cypriniformes, Cyprinidae.